ACUCCUACGGGAGGCAGCAGUGGGGAAUAUUGCACAAUGGGCGCAAGCCUGAUGCAGCCAUGCCGCGUGUAUGAAGAAGGCCUUCGGGUUGUAAAGUACUUUCAGCAGUGAGGAAGGUGGGAGUCGUAAUAGCGGCCUCAGCUUUGAUCGUAUGGCUGCAGAAGAAGCACCGGCUAACUCCGUGCCAGCAGCCGCGGUAAUACGGAGGGUGCGAGCGUUAAUCGGAAUUACUGGGCGUAAAGCGCAUGCAGGUGGUUUGUUAAGUCAGAUGUGAAAGCCCGGGGCUCAACCUCGGAAUUGCAUUUGAAACUGGCAGACUAGAGUACUGUAGAGGGGGGUAGAAUUUCAGGUGUAGCGGUGAAAUGCGUAGAGAUCUGAAGGAAUACCGGUGGCGAAGGCGGCCCCCUGGACAGAUACUGACACUCAGAUGCGAAAGCGUGGGAGCAAACAGGAUUAGAUACCCUGGUAGACAUCA
This 475-nucleotide ribosomal RNA is filed under the name uncultured bacterium. RNAcentral describes it as "bacterial SSU rRNA". It matches the Rfam family "Bacterial small subunit ribosomal RNA", at positions 335 to 799 of the family's 1533-position model. The record is from RNAcentral.